AGUGAUAUAAUUCAGCCGUUGCAAGCUUCUCUAGCUUAUGUGCAUCUUGUGGCUACACAAAGUCAUUAAAUUAAACAUAUCAAUCUCAAUUAUCAAGUAAUCCUUACUCCUUUCUUCUUUGCAUGAUCCUGUUAUAUAUUAAGUUCACCGUAUGCUCAAAUGUUGACUGUCUAGAUGACACUAUUAGAAAAAGAAAACAAAAACUUAAGCUAACAUAUUUCAAUUCAGCACAUCAUCAUAUCAUAAAGGUUUAGCCAAGAAACAUUUCCAGCUCUAUUAGCUGACAUGCUUGCAAGAAGCAUAUAUGUUUAAACAAACCUCAAAGUACAAGCAAAAUUCUUCAACAAAGUUCAGGUUUUAUCGAUUCAUUGAUUAUAAAUUAUAUACACUGGAAGAAGAGCAUGUGACCAAAGUCUUCAUAUUAAGUCAUUUUAUUGUGAUUUCAAAUCUAAAACAAGGCUGAGAUAUAAGUAGAGCCUCAGAAGUUUGUGUAAGAUAUUAAGUCACUUGUAUACUUCCAUACAUCUUAAACUUAUAGGAUGGUUGGUUCAUAGUAGUUUUUUAAUCCUUAUUGCCCCCAUUUUUCCAUAAAAAAAUAAACAUCUAAUAGAUAAGUUUGGGUGGGUACUUUGCACUUCCAAGCUUUAAGCUCAAAUAACUCUAAUGUGAGGGAUCACCCAACAACUUAAGUAAAUUUAAGAGGAUAAUAUUUUAAAAAACAAUACAAUACCUUCAAUCAAAAGUUUACAGGAAGAUUAAUUAGGUAGUAAAACAAAAGCAGUAGCGUGCACCAUGCACAUGAAAUAGAAGAGAGAUCUUACAAGUUACAAGGAAGGUUGUGGCUCCACAAUAGAAUAAGGCCCCUGUUGAAACUGCAAGUAAGGGCAGAGUAUAAU
RNAcentral lists this long non-coding RNA (896 nucleotides) under Lotus japonicus. Its description in RNAcentral is "long non-coding RNA (LJAP_LNC000200)". Lineage: Eukaryota; Viridiplantae; Streptophyta; Magnoliopsida; Fabales; Fabaceae. The record is from RNAcentral.